Long non-coding RNA from Emys orbicularis (European pond turtle), 1944 nucleotides. RefSeq lists it as uncharacterized. Lineage: Eukaryota; Metazoa; Chordata; Testudines; Emydidae. The transcript has 2 exons. The record is from RefSeq and is a predicted model, not a curated record.
GAUUACCUUCAAAGGCAUGAUGGUCUGAGGUACAGUUCUGACACGUCUGCAUGGAUAAGUGACAGCAGCUGUAACAGAAGGAAAGUUACAGAGUGACUGGAAGAAAGCGGUGGAACAAUGGAUGCGUAUUGGGAAAUCUGAGGAUAACUAGUGCAACACACAAAUUUUAACCACCUCUAAAAGUGGUCUUGGCCAGCAUUCAGCGUGUGCAGAUGUUAAUGUUAGCUUUGAAGAAAAAGGUGUUAAUUGCUAUUUUAGAGCUGUUCUUGUUGGAGCAUUGCUGCAUGAAAGGUUACUAAUGGUAACAUCUGAGGGGAGUAUCUCCUUUAUAGAUGAAAAGUGUGAACUAAGUGGCUAUUGUCUGGCUUUUGUAACUGUCCACUUCCAAGAAGUAAGUGUGGGUGUAUUCAUGUUGAUGCUGCAGCAGAACAAACAUUCCUGUGCUACUGUUAGGCCUUGUCUACACUGCAGAGUCUUAUCCAGAAAAGGCAGCCUUUGUCAGCAAAACUGUGGAGGUGUACACACUGCAAUGCCACUUUUGGCGGCAAAGUUAAAGCAACAAAGUGUCAGUAUAGAUGCUGCUGUUCAUUAUAUUGCCAGUACUCGCCUCCCCUAGUAUUUUUCAGUGCCCGUCGUGACUGAUCUGCUCACUGUUUGGAACUCUGCUGCCCUGCAUGCAUGUGCCCCUCCCCUUUCAAAGCUCCAGGAAGUUAUGGAAUUUCUGACAGUUGAGCUCCAGCAGCAAAGAGCAAAUCAUUAAUGUGGAAUGCUGCUGUCUCCUGUACUAGGAACAUAGAGGCAGGUGUGUGCGUAUGAGAAACUGCUGUGCAGAGCCAGGUGGGAGCUGAUGUGUGCGUGGGGGGAAGAGGGAGGGUGUCUCCCUGCCUCAGGACUAGCUGAUUCCAGCAGCUGUCUGAACUUAAAGACUACACAGUCACACUCCCCCCAUACACUUCAGUUAAAAAGCGGAUGGCAGUCUAGUAGAAUUCCCAAGGAACCAUGAGCUUGAGAAACCUGCACCAUGUGAUGCUGUUCUGUGCCUGCCCCAUGAGACAUUGCAAAUCCUUCCUAAAGCACCCUGUGGCCGGUUGCACGUUGGGAUAGCUAUCCACAGUGCACUGCUCUGGGUCGAUACAAGAGUAACUAGUGUGGAUGUGCUGCACUGACACAAAGAGCAUAGUGUGGACAUGCAACAGCGGUUUAAUUGAAGUGGCAUACCUUCUGUUGAUAAAACUCUGGAGUGUAAACAGUUUUAGUGAACAGUUUGCAGAAACAGUUCCGCUGAGCUGAAAAUGGAACGACAUGUCACUUAAGCAAAAGCAACUGCCCACUCAGUGGGAGGGAGGACUUGCAAACACAAGAACAUUUUUAUGUUUCAGGGUAUUCUGCAUAGGCAACUUAAUUUUCCAACAUUUAGAUCCUUUUUUGGGGGUAGGAGGCGGGAGAGUUCUUUCGUACUACAUGCCACAAUUUGACCUAUGAGUUAUGGUGGCAGUUUUGUAGGGAGUUGUCCACCACCUAACAUAACUGCAUUUGUCCUGUAAAGUGAAUUUUUUGGAAAUUGCAAGAGCAGAAAUAGAUUUUUCCCUUUUGGGUCAGAGGUAAUAUUCAUGAACCUAAAAUGAGGUGUAGAGGACUUCUGGGGAAUGUUAAUAUCCAUCCUUGGAGUUAUUGGUACCCUUGUACCAGCUAGCAUCUUUCAUAAAUGGUUACUUCCAGAUAUGAUCCUUCUAAGAUAGAGCUAAUUAGUUCGUAUGGAAUCUUGUCUUUUAAGUACAUCUCCAGGUUGUCUGUAUUGCAUUUGUACUCUGUAUUACGCAUGUUUAUUGCUUAUUUUGCCAAUAUAUGGUACAAGUGAAAUCCAAUUUUCAAGCAUCAAUAAUUCUGUAUGCUAUCCCUCAUCUUUCUCAUUGGUCAUGGUUAAUAAACUUUACGUUGACUGAA